UACGGAGGGUGCAAACGUUGCUCGGAAUCAUUGGGCGUAAAGCGCACGUAGGCGGUCCGGCAAGUCGGGUGUGAAAGCCCUCGGCUUAACCGAGGAAGUGCAUUCGAAACUACCGGACUUGAAUACUGGAGAGGGUCGCGGAAUUCCAGGUGUAGCGGUGAAAUGCGUAGAUAUCUGGAGGAACACCGGUGGCGAAGGCGGCAUCCUGGACCGGCAUUGACGCUGAGGCGCGAAAGCCAGGGGAGCAAACGGG
This 253-nucleotide ribosomal RNA is filed under the name uncultured bacterium. RNAcentral describes it as "partial 16S ribosomal RNA". It matches the Rfam family "Bacterial small subunit ribosomal RNA", at positions 524 to 776 of the family's 1533-position model. The record is from RNAcentral.